Cavia porcellus (domestic guinea pig) is the source of this 2585-nucleotide long non-coding RNA. RefSeq lists it as uncharacterized. Lineage: Eukaryota; Metazoa; Chordata; Mammalia; Rodentia; Caviidae. The record is from RefSeq and is a predicted model, not a curated record. The transcript has 3 exons.
ACCUCUGAUUAUAUGGCCCUUUCCUUCUUGCAGGCUCCUAGUGAUCACGCUGGGGCGUCGUGUCUACGGGCAAACCUGCUGUCCUCUCAGCAGACCUGGGAAAAGUCUCCCUCGGCGCUCUGUAUGAAAGGAUAGGGGCGUCCCCCGCGCUGGAGCUGCCAGAUUGAAGCGCGAAGCUGCGGCCAUCUGCAGCCUGAGGCCUUGUUACAGAGCUGGGUUGAAGGAGGCAGGGUAUGCAGAGGACAAGGCCUGGACUCUGCUUUCCUCCUCCAGUGUAAUCGGCCUGGAGAACAAGUUUCCACAGUUACCUAGUUGCUGUUUGAGCUGUGCUUUCUUUCUCACAAAGCAAACAAGCACGAAGUUUAGUCCGUUAGCCAGCUUGAAGCCCUCACAGGCGGUACCGGGAACCAAGAGGGACGCCUCUCCACCCCUGCAAGAAAGGAGCAAACACUGCAGUGCAGUGCAUCAUCUGGACCUCAAGGAUCCGUUUGCCCAGUCACAAGCCUGGGACUGCCUGCUGGGCCAGGAAAGAAGGGAGCAAAAUGGCCUGUGAGUGCCCCCGCAUUGGGCACUUGGGGCUGGGCUCUCCACUUUUCAGUGUUCUCACCUCCUCCCCAGCUGGAGCCCCUGCCCCAGACAGCUGACAGUCUGGCUAGGAGGACAGACAGCAAUUCCUGAGCCCUGGACCUAUGGCCAAUGAGUGAUGGGCAGUGAGGAACUACACAGUUUCUCACUUUCUUACAGGAAUCAAAGGGAGAUUUUGCCAAACUAGUAAAAAUAACCUCAUCGGCAGAAUUCUCCUUGAGCUUUUCUGUUAAUGAACAUUGCUUGGCUUCACUGCCAGACUGGAAUCUGAAGGGGCAUGACACCCACUCCCAGGAGAUAACUGGGCCAGCCACUUCUUUAGCAGCGCUAAUCUUGGGCCAGUGCCCUCCUCUGAGGACCUCCCUCAGGGCCAGCUUCUACUCUCUGCCUCCCCUGCCUGUUCUUUUAAUAAGUCAGGAAAACCAGCCAACACCUGAGACCAAAGACCUUGCUUCUGUUUCCCUCUGUGGCACAGCAGGCGGCAGCUGGAAGAGCCCUGGAAAGAAAGAGUAUUGGUUUUUUCCCCCUCCCAGUACUGGGGAUUCAACCCAGAGAAUACUGUGCUCCUAAUGCUCACAGGACCUCAUUAAGACUGGCCUGAACUUGCCAUCGCCCUGCAUCAGUCUCUUGAGUAAAUUGGGAUGGAGGGUGUGGUGUCACCCACCUGUAAUGCCAGCACUCGGGAAACUGAGGCAGGAGGAUUGCUGUGAGUCCUAGACUACAGAGCAAGACCCUGUCUAAACAGAAUCAAAACAAAACAAAACCAUACUGGGUCGCUGAGAUUACAGGGAUACCCAGCGAGUGCUGCCUUUUUGGAGGGCCACUCACUUAUCUGGCCUGAAGAGUAUUCUCAACCCCAUUAUCCCAGCACCAUGCUGCAGGUGUCUCACCCAGGAGCCAAAGUGGUGUGGUCUCCUUCAUGGCCUCAGUUUCCCAUUUGUGAAUCACACUUUUGGCUCCAGGGCUUGCAGAGGCUGUGCUCAUGACAGCUGCACCCCACUCCUGACGUCAGCAGUGAGGUGCCAAGCCCUCUCUGCUCAUUUGUCACCCUCUGCCUCUGCCUCUGCCUCAUCAGCAGCCAAAUACUGGCAUGCCCCCAGGUCCUCCAGGCACAGAAGUGCUCAGAAUGGAACCCAGUGGCUCACUCAUGCUUAGCAAGUGCUCUGCCACCGAACUACUCAUCCAGCCCUGGUCAUACAUUAUAAAUGGUCUCACUGUGUAGCCCAGGCUGGUCUUGAACUCUCAGUGUUCCCUGGCUUUCAUCUCCAGAGUGCUGGGUUUAUAGGUGUGCACCACCUCACCUGGCUCUGCUACUGUUAACUCUAUCAGCACCUAGGGCCAGAGUGAGGAGGAGUAAAAACUUCCCGGAGUUUUCAUCAGAGGUGGAGAACAAAGGACGGGGAAAUCAGCAUCUUCUGUGGAUUUCAUCGUCAGGAUGGUGGGUUUGCGGAAUGGAGCAAGGUGCCAAAAAACUGUGGUGUCUCAUCUGCCAACGACAGUACAGAAGAUGCUGCUUGGAGCUGGGACAGGGAAGGUGGGGUUACAGUGGGCUCCAGGGCAGCCAGGGGAGCAAUGGGGCAGGCAGCUGCCCCUGUGAACCCCCCUGAUGAGCACUACCAGCUUGCUGUCCAAACUGGGGUUUGCCCAGAGCAGCCACCAGUCUCUUCCUGCUGCUCCCUGCUAGGUGGCAGAGACCAUACAACCCAGGCUGCGGUCACCCCAGCUCAGCUGCUACAGGGCUGAAGGCCUUAUUCACAGCCUGACCAUGUGCCAUCUGAGGGCAGCAAGGCAUCCAGAGCCAAGGUGGGGCCUUCAAGAGGCAAUGAAGUAAUGGGGGCCCUGAGUUCAAGGAGGAGUGGGAUCCUGCUGUUCUCUCACCUGCUCUUGUCCAUCUGCCUCCAGCCUUCGGGUGACACAGGUGGCCCUCAUCAGGUGGGGGCUCCCUGUCUUGGGCUUCUCUGCCUCCAGAAGUCUGAGAAAUAAAUGGCUGUUCAUUAGAA